UUCUUUGUUUAGUUCGGAAUAGUUCGAUCCGGUUUUUUCCAUGUCACGUCGUCACUCGUCACUUUUAUACUUGUUAGCUAUUGUUAGUAAUAAUCACUUAAUCAGAUUGAUGAACCAAAGUGAAGUCAAGUAACAAAUGAAAGGUUUUCAAUAGCAUGCUGCUGUAUCCUGUAGCCUUGUAUCCUGUAUCCUAUGCCUUUGUAGCAGUCUGUUUUCUUUAGUUAGAAAGAAUGUGGCUAAAUGGAUUGGACUAAAUCAACGAACUUGUGAAACUUUGGCGACACUAAUCUAAAGCACUGAAAUACUAGUUUUAAAUAGUGUGAUGUCCUCAAUUUCAAGGUGGUGACUUGCAUUUUGGGAAACCAAUACCAACUGUGCUAUAGAAAAGACUGAAGCAACAUCAAGCAUACCAGUAAAGAGGUCAUCUAUCUGGUCGCACAAGACAUGCAACUUUUUGUAUCAACCAGACCAGUCGAACGGAACACACACCAACGAAACACACACACACCACAUACACCAACAAAGACAACACAUAUCUUCUGACUAUAACGUGAGUACCUGCAUUUACUAUAUGCUUUUGUGGGAAAUGUGUUCAUUUCGUUCGUAUCAGGCUCUCUUCAUCACAACAAACCUUAAUCAUUUUGAUUAACUCGUUAAUAGUUCGACAUCAAUAUAGAAGACGUUAUCUUCA
This is a long non-coding RNA of Daphnia pulex (common water flea), 691 nucleotides long. RefSeq lists it as uncharacterized. The transcript is spliced from 4 exons. NCBI's taxonomy places the organism in Eukaryota, Metazoa, Arthropoda, Branchiopoda, Diplostraca, Daphniidae. The record is from RefSeq and is a predicted model, not a curated record.